GGCGAGGGUAAACGGGCUCACCAAGGUGAUGAUGCAUAGCCGACCUGAGAGGGUAAUCGGCCACAUUGGGACUGAGACACGGCCCAAACUCCUACGGGAGGCAGCAGUAGGGAAUCUUCCGCAAUGGACGCAAGUCUGACGGAGCAACGCCGCGUGAGUGAAGAAGGUUUUCGGAUCGUAAACUCUGUUGUAAGAGAAGAACGAAUUGUAGAGUAACUGCUACAGUUCUUGACGGUAUCUUACCAGAAAGCCACGGCUAACUACGUGCCAGCAGCCGCGGUAAAU
RNAcentral lists this ribosomal RNA (285 nucleotides) under uncultured Aerococcus sp. RNAcentral's name for it is "partial 16S ribosomal RNA". It matches the Rfam family "Bacterial small subunit ribosomal RNA", at positions 251 to 525 of the family's 1533-position model. The record is from RNAcentral. Lineage: Bacteria; Bacillati; Bacillota; Bacilli; Lactobacillales; Aerococcaceae.